RNAcentral lists this ribosomal RNA (732 nucleotides) under uncultured bacterium. RNAcentral describes it as "bacterial SSU rRNA". It matches the Rfam family "Bacterial small subunit ribosomal RNA", at positions 8 to 749 of the family's 1533-position model. The record is from RNAcentral.
AGAGUUUGAUCCUGGCUCAGGACGAACGCUGGCGGCGUGCUUAACACAUGCAAGUCGAGCGGAAUCCAUGGUGUAGCAAUACACCGGAAGAUUUAGUGGCGAACGGGUGAGGAUCACGUGAGAAACCUGCCCCAGACUUUGGGAUAACAAUUGGAAACGAUUGCUAAUACCGAAUGACGUCGGAGAACCGCAUGGUUCACUGACGAAAGGAAAUCCGGUUUGGGAGGGUCUCGCGGCCUAUCAGCUUGUUGGUGGGGUAAUGGCCUACCAAGGCAACGACGGGUAGCUGGUCUGAGAGGAUGAUCAGCCACACUGGGACUGAGACACGGCCCAGACUCCUACGGGAGGCAGCAGUGGGGAAUCUUGCGCAAUGGGCGAAAGCCUGACGCAGCAACGCCGCGUGCGGGAUGAAGGCCUUCGGGCUGUAAACCGCUUUCAGCAGGAACGAAAAUGACGGUACCUGCAGAAGAAGGAGCGGCCAACUACGUGCCAGCAGCCGCGGCGACACGUAGGCUCCAAGCGUUGUCCGGAUUUAUUGGGCGUAAAGAGCUCGUAGGCGGUUUAGUAAGUCGGGUGUUAAAACUCUGGGCUCAACCCGGAGAGGCCAUCCGAUACUGCUGUGACUUGAGUUCAGGAGGGGAGCGGGGAAUUCCUAGUGUAGCGGUGAAAUGCGCAGAUAUUAGGAGGAACACCGGUGGCGAAGGCGCCGCUCUGGACUGAAACUGACGCUGA